Molecule: ribosomal RNA, 624 nt
Filed under: Campylobacter ureolyticus
Lineage: Bacteria; Pseudomonadati; Campylobacterota; Epsilonproteobacteria; Campylobacterales; Campylobacteraceae
Description: bacterial SSU rRNA
Rfam family: Bacterial small subunit ribosomal RNA
Source: RNAcentral
GAGCGUAAACUCCUUUUAUCAGGAAAGAAUAAUGACGGUACCUGAUGAAUAAGCACCGGCUAACUCCGUGCCAGCAGCCGCGGUAAUACGGGGGGUGCAAGCGUUACUCGGAAUCACUGGGCGUAAAGGACGCGUAGGCGGAUUAUCAAGUCUUUUGUGAAAUCUAGUGGCUUAACCACUAAACUGCUUAGGAAACUGAUAGUCUAGAGUAGGGGAGAGGUAGAUGGAAUUCUUGGUGUAGGGGUAAAAUCCGUAGAGAUCAAGAAGAAUACCCAUUGCGAAAGCGAUCUGCUGGAACCUAACUGACGCUGAGGCGUGAAAGCGUGGGUAGCAAACAGGAUUAGAUACCCUGGUAGUCCACGCCCUAAACGAUGUAUACUAGUUGUUGCUUUGCUAGUCAAGGCAGUAAUGCAGCUAACGCAUUAAGUAUACCGCCUGGGGAGUACGGUCGCAAGAUUAAAACUCAAAGGAAUAGACGGGGACCCGCACAAGCGGUGGAGCAUGUGGUUUAAUUCGAAGAUACGCGAAGAACCUUACCUGGACUUGACAUCCUAAAAACAUCUAAGAGAUUAGAAAGUGCUAGUUUACUAGAAUUUAGUGACAGGUGCUGCACGGCUGUCGUCA